Molecule: transfer RNA, 98 nt
Filed under: Chloroflexota bacterium
Lineage: Bacteria; Bacillati; Chloroflexota
Description: Chloroflexi bacterium tRNA-Sec
Rfam family: Selenocysteine transfer RNA
Source: RNAcentral
GGGAGCGGAGGGGGCCCGGUGGCCCUCGCGGUCUUCAAAACCGUUGCGGGGCGGCCCGCGUCGUCCUGGGUGGGUUCGACUCCCAUGCGCUCCCGCCA